This 491-nucleotide ribosomal RNA is filed under the name uncultured bacterium. RNAcentral's name for it is "partial 16S ribosomal RNA". It matches the Rfam family "Bacterial small subunit ribosomal RNA", at positions 29 to 507 of the family's 1533-position model. The record is from RNAcentral.
AGUGAACGCUGGCGGUAUGCCUAACACAUGCCAGUCGAACGGCAGCACAGUAAGAGCUUGCUCUUACGGGUGGCGAGUGGCGGACGGGUGAGGAGUACAUCGGAAUCUACUUUUUCGUGGGGGAUAACGUAGGGAAACUUACGCUAAUACCGCAUACGACCUACGGGUGAGAGCAGGGGAUCUUCGGACCUUUCGCGAUUGAAGGAGCCGAUGUCGGAGUAGCUAGUUGGCGGGGUAAAGGCCCACCAAGGCGACGAUCCGUAGCUGGGCUGAGAGGAUGAUCAGCCACACUGGAAAUGAGACACGGUCCAGACCCCGACGGGAGGCAGGAGUGGGGAAUAUUGGACAAGGGGCGCAAGCCUGAUCCAGCCAUACGGCGUGGGUGAAGAAGGCCUUCGGUUGUAAAGCCCUUUUGUUGGGAAAGAAAAGCAGCAGGUUAAUACCCCGCUGUUCUGACGGUACCCAAAGAAUAAGCACCGGCUAACUUCGUG